UAUCAGUGUUUCAUUUAGAUUCUAAAAGGCUAUUCUUGUAACUCGUCCCUCCAAACAGACGCAUAAAAUGAUCUUUGACAUAAACGGCAAACAACUUGAACGUCUAUAUAUGCGCUGAUCAGUUUUGUCCCGUCUGCACAGCGCCGCAUUUCAGUCACUAAAAGCGCGCGAGCGCCGCUGUUUAAACUUCAACGGUUCACGGUGGACUGACUGCGCUCAGCGCUCGGGAGAACGACGAUUACAUUGAAGCUAAAAGAAGAAAGGUGGUUUAUCGCGUUGUCCAGGCCAGCGCAAUUCUCCGCCGGGAGGUAUGUCAUUUUUAACAUGAAUCCCUAAAGUAUCUUGAUAAAACUGUUGUGAAUUGAUCAAUAAUGCUGGCGAGAGUUCAUGUUAUAGCCUAACGUAAUACUGUUUUUCCCUGUAGAGUGUAUUGGACCUAUAUGUAUAGAGCUUGGGAACCUACAUCACGCUGCGUCGGAUUCCGCCAUGAUUUAGAUGUUCAUCUAUCUCAGAGAGCACUGUUAAAGUUAUAGCACCACCUUAUCAGAGAGCUGAAAAGUGGAAGUCAGAGGAAACAUGACCAACCUGCUGCAAAACAAUAACACAAAAGUGCAGGUCUGGACUCUGGAGUGCAGCAUUACUUGUUUGGUCAUCUACAUUCAGAUGAAAACACCACACUUCUCUCUAAUUCAAGAUGUCAAGCCUACUCAUCGCAAAGAGAGUUAACAUCAGAAUGGAUGUGUCACUGACCAAUAACACAGAGAUGCAGUCUACUUUUUGUUCAGUAUGGAGCAUCCAAAAGACAUCACUCAGUUCAUUUCAAUCAGUACUAUUUAGCCCUUCCCAGUGCUGAAAUUGUCAUGGGUCCUUUGUUUUUAUUGUUUAAAUGCUUAUCUGAAUGUAAAAUGAAUAUUUAAUGCUUAUAAAUUAAAAAAAAAAAAAACAAUACUGUAGUUCCCUUUGUAGAAACAUAUGGUUCACCAUAAUCUUUCAUGGGUUACAGAACUGGGGAAAGUUGCAGCAUAAAAAUAAAAUAAAAAAAAGUCAGACUACUUGGUUUAUAGGGGAAUGUGGAGUAAAUAUUUGACAUUUAUUUAAGGUAAAGGGUAAUGACCUGGUGGUGAGAUGCAAAAUAAGAGUGUCAUUAAUAUACUUAUUUGAUGACAAUUUUCACAUUCUAAUUUUACUUACGCAUUUAAUUUUUUUAGUUAAGUUAACAUUCAUUUGUGGUUUCUAGCAAUCAACAUAUAUUUGUGACUGACAUGUUGGAUGGGUAAGUAAGGUGGAGGGGGUUGAAAAUAAAAUUCUAAAAUGGAGAGUGCUAUUUUAGACAGGUAAAAAUAAUUUUUUAAAAAGUACAAAUAAAUAAAGAAACAUGGAUUUAUGUUAAUCCCUGUAACUGUUGCACUAUGAAUUGCUGUGUUAUAUAUUGCUCGUCAUUGUAAAUGCUAAUAAAAGUGUC
Long non-coding RNA from Onychostoma macrolepis, 1462 nucleotides. RefSeq lists it as uncharacterized. NCBI's taxonomy places the organism in Eukaryota, Metazoa, Chordata, Actinopteri, Cypriniformes, Cyprinidae. The record is from RefSeq and is a predicted model, not a curated record. The transcript is spliced from 5 exons.